This is a small nucleolar RNA of Gastrolobium bilobum, 99 nucleotides long. NCBI's taxonomy places the organism in Eukaryota, Viridiplantae, Streptophyta, Magnoliopsida, Fabales, Fabaceae. The record is from RefSeq and is a predicted model, not a curated record.
UUGAAGGCAAUGAUGUUGAAGAACUACCUAUUUUAUGAGGGAAUAGAAAAUCGUCCCUUUAUGAUUAUAAAAUUACCAAUGGAUCCUUCUGAGCCUUCA